This 426-nucleotide long non-coding RNA is filed under the name Malus domestica (apple). Its description in RNAcentral is "long non-coding RNA (MDOM_LNC019389)". Lineage: Eukaryota; Viridiplantae; Streptophyta; Magnoliopsida; Rosales; Rosaceae. The record is from RNAcentral.
GGGGGGGGGUUUGAUUUGGAUGAAGUUGAAACAAACAAGCAAGUAUGAAAAACUAGACAGAUUGUAAAACAAAUUUGAGAAAUAAGAUGAUGGAUGGGAUAGCUAGAGGCUUUUUCUCCACACAUGACAUGUAUGCAAAUAACUCGAUUUCCAGUUACUACUUCAUUGAAUUAUGAAUGACAAUGCCCCAAAUUAACCGUGACAUCACUAGUUAACUCUUAGAUUUUCCUUGUUUUAUUGGAUUGGAUGACAUCAUUCGACAACCCAAAACAUUCUUCAAAAGUUCCCUACAUGACAUCAUAAUAGAGAUACAAUCAAAGAUCAUUACGUCUAAUAAAAAUCAUAAGCAUUGACAAAGCACUUGUAACUAUGACAUCAUGUCACUCAUGCUAGGAAUUGAACUUAACGCGAUCGUUUAUAAGCAAC